RNAcentral lists this long non-coding RNA (278 nucleotides) under Pan troglodytes (chimpanzee). RNAcentral's name for it is "long non-coding RNA NONPTRT002595". The record is from RNAcentral. Lineage: Eukaryota; Metazoa; Chordata; Mammalia; Primates; Hominidae.
ACCACAUUUUAUACAGAUCGAACUUUAUACAACAUACUUUAACAGUUAGCUUGCAUUCAGUGUGCACGCAUAUGCAUCCCUAUACACACAUGAAAAUAACACACAAAGCCAAUUACAUCCUUGCUCUUACCCUGGACGUAACUGCUUUCUUUCUGUACCUGGUUAUAUGUCAUUUCUACUGAGCAUUCACACUUAUUUUAAAAAAUCUAACCAAGAGACCAAAAUGAGGGAGAGAGUCCUUGAAACAAAUGCACUCAAUUCUAUGUGCAUGGAAUGCA